Molecule: long non-coding RNA, 771 nt
Organism: Schistocerca cancellata (South American locust)
Lineage: Eukaryota; Metazoa; Arthropoda; Insecta; Orthoptera; Acrididae
Exons: 3
Source: RefSeq, a predicted model, not a curated record
GGCGCCUCACCUUUUACUGUUUGUCUUCUAUGAAAGGCGGACUCGGACUUGCUGCGUUCCACAACUGUAUUUUAUAUUUUAUGUGAAAAUAUUGAGUGAAUAUGCUAAUUGUUAUUUUUUCCAAUCGGAAAACAUGUAGUUUCUUGUAACUGAUAUCGAACAGACAGCGUCAAGAGGACAUUUUGACUGUUCUGUAUAAAGUAUUUAACCACAAUGGUCAUCUAUUGUAAUUUAAUAUGAAAAGGAUCAAGAAUGCCCUGUUCCUAGCAUGUUAAACGUUCAUGAUUCUCAGAGGAGUGCAGAGGAUUUAGAAAGAAAUUCCACAUGUGUGUGGCCUGUCAUUUCCACCCAGCACUGCCUGUUUCUCUGCUGCACCAAGUCUUGUUGACACACAGGCUUGACCGUUCCCAGCACAGUUGAGCUCAACUACCCACGGUGUGGGGAACAGGAUGGAGCAGUUGGCUGCAGCCUGUCUCUGGCAGAUAACCAGGAAAAUAGGAGAUUCAUCUCGUCCUCUUUUUCUCCUACACUAAAAAUGCUGAAUAUUACAUGAAGGCUCUGACUUAUCCAGAAGACUGGAACAAAAGAAAACUUUUUUCUGUAAUUAGUUGAUGUUGGAUCAAAAUAAAUAAAUAAAGCUAUAGUCUUUCUUAUAGAAUAUUUAGCAACAUCCUGUCCAAAAGAGCUCUAUGCAUAUCAUAGAACCACAAUUUCUAACAAAAACAACAUGUAUCAGUCAGAAACUUCCACCUAUAAGGAAAGUGUCUUUCA